Molecule: ribosomal RNA, 253 nt
Filed under: uncultured bacterium
Lineage: Bacteria
Description: partial 16S ribosomal RNA
Rfam family: Bacterial small subunit ribosomal RNA
Source: RNAcentral
UACGUAGGGUGCGAGCGUUGUCCGGAAUUAUUGGGCGUAAAGGGCUCGUAGGCGGUUUGUCGCGUCGGGAGUGAAAACACCGGGCUUAACUCGGUGCUUGCUUUCGAUACGGGCAGACUAGAGGCAUGCAGGGGAGAACGGAAUUCCUGGUGUAGCGGUGAAAUGCGCAGAUAUCAGGAGGAACACCGGUGGCGAAGGCGGGUCUCUGGGCCGUAACUGACGCUGAGGAGCGAAAGCGUGGGGAGCGAACAGG